Molecule: ribosomal RNA, 970 nt
Filed under: human gut metagenome
Description: bacterial SSU rRNA
Rfam family: Bacterial small subunit ribosomal RNA
Source: RNAcentral
GGCUGAACCAGCCAAGUCGCGUGAGGGAUGAAGGUUCUAUGGAUCGUAAACCUCUUUUAUAAGGGAAUAAAGUGCGGGACGUGUCCCGUUUUGUAUGUACCUUAUGAAUAAGGAUCGGCUAACUCCGUGCCAGCAGCCGCGGUAAUACGGAGGAUCCGAGCGUUAUCCGGAUUUAUUGGGUUUAAAGGGUGCGUAGGCGGCCUUUUAAGUCAGCGGUGAAAGUCUGUGGCUCAACCAUAGAAUUGCCGUUGAAACUGGGGGGCUUGAGUAUGUUUGAGGCAGGCGGAAUGCGUGGUGUAGCGGUGAAAUGCAUAGAUAUCACGCAGAACCCCGAUUGCGAAGGCAGCCUGCCAAGCCAUUACUGACGCUGAUGCACGAAAGCGUGGGGAUCAAACAGGAUUAGAUACCCUGGUAGUCCACGCAGUAAACGAUGAUCACUAGCUGUUUGCGAUACACUGUAAGCGGCACAGCGAAAGCGUUAAGUGAUCCACCUGGGGAGUACGCCGGCAACGGUGAAACUCAAAGGAAUUGACGGGGGCCCGCACAAGCGGAGGAACAUGUGGUUUAAUUCGAUGAUACGCGAGGAACCUUACCCGGGUUUGAACGCAUUCGGACCGAGGUGGAAACACCUUUUCUAGCAAUAGCCGUUUGCGAGGUGCUGCAUGGUUGUCGUCAGCUCGUGCCGUGAGGUGUCGGCUUAAGUGCCAUAACGAGCGCAACCCUUGCCACUAGUUACUAACAGGUAAAGCUGAGGACUCUGGUGGGACUGCCAGCGUAAGCUGCGAGGAAGGCGGGGAUGACGUCAAAUCAGCACGGCCCUUACAUCCGGGGCGACACACGUGUUACAAUGGCGUGGACAAAGGGAGGCCACCUGGCGACAGGGAGCGAAUCCCCAAACCACGUCUCAGUUCGGAUCGGAGUCUGCAACCCGACUCCGUGAAGCUGGAUUCGCUAGUAAUCGCGCAUCAGC